This 296-nucleotide ribosomal RNA is filed under the name uncultured bacterium. RNAcentral's name for it is "partial 16S ribosomal RNA". It matches the Rfam family "Bacterial small subunit ribosomal RNA", at positions 475 to 776 of the family's 1533-position model. The record is from RNAcentral.
CUAUGCGCCUUGCCAGCCCGCUCAGGUGUGCCAGCAGCGCGGUAAUACGGAGGAUGCGAGCGUUAUCCGGAUUUAUGGGUUUAAAGGGUGCGUAGGUGGUUAAUUAAGUCAGCGGUGAAAGUUUGUGGCUCAACCAUAAAAUUGCCGUUGAAACUGGUUGACUUGAGUAUAUUUGAGGUAGGCGGAAUGCGUGGUGUAGCGGUGAAAUGCAUAGAUAUCACGCAGAACUCCGAUUGCGAAGGCAGCUUACUAAACUAUAACUGACACUGAAGCACGAAAGCGUGGGAUCAAACAGG